CUGAAACCGAUGUUGUGUUUUUACUUGAAAGUAUUAAUGGCAAAUCUGAAAGUCCAGACCAUAUGGUAUCUCAGUAUCAGCAAGCUUUGGAAGAAAUAGAAAGGCUGAAAAAACAAUGUAGUGCUUUGCAACAUGUAAAGGCUGAAAGCAGCCAGUGUUCCAAUAAUGAGAGUAAAAGUGAAAUGGAUGAGAUGGCUGUGCAGCUUGAUGAUGUGUUUAGACAACUGGACAAAUGCAGUAUUGAGAGGGACCAGUAUAAAAGUGAGGUUGAAUUGCUGGAAAUGGAAAAGUCACAAAUCCGUUCACAGUGUGAAGAACUCAAAACUGAAGUUGAACAGUUAAAAUCAAAUCAACAGACGGCAACAGAUGUUUCAACAUCAAGUAACAUUGAGGAGUCUGUAAAUUAUAUGGAUGGAGAAAGCAUUUUGCAGCUUUCUUCUGUCUUGAAGAAGUAGAACGGUGCCCGAGAAACGUUUUGCCCCUUCGAGACUCAGGAGGAUGAAAGUCAUC
Molecule: small RNA, 510 nt
Filed under: Pongo abelii (Sumatran orangutan)
Lineage: Eukaryota; Metazoa; Chordata; Mammalia; Primates; Hominidae
Description: processed transcript
Source: RNAcentral